This 468-nucleotide ribosomal RNA is filed under the name uncultured bacterium. RNAcentral describes it as "partial 16S ribosomal RNA". It matches the Rfam family "Bacterial small subunit ribosomal RNA", at positions 28 to 507 of the family's 1533-position model. The record is from RNAcentral.
GACGAACGCUGGCGGCGUGCUUAACACAUGCAAGUCGAACGGAAAGGCCCUGCUUUUGUGGUGUGCUCGAGUGGCGAACGGGUGAGUAACACGUUAGUAACCUGCCCUUGACUUUGGGAUAACUUCAUGAAACUGGGGCUAAUACCGGAUAGGAGCUCCUGCUGCAUGGUGGGGGUUGGAUAGUUUCGGCGGUUGGGGAUGGACUCGCGGCUUAUCAGCUUGUUGGUGGGGUAGUGGCUUACCAAGGCUUUGACGGGUAGCCGGCCUGAGAGGGUGACCGGCAAAAUUGGGACGGAGAUACGGCCCAGACGCCAACGGGAGGCAGCAGUGGGGAAUAGUGCAAAAUGGGCGGAAGCCUGAUGAAGCAACGCCGCGUGCGGGAUGACGGCCUUCGGGUUGUAAAACGCUUUCGCCUGUGACGAAGCGUGAGUGACGGUAAUGGGUAAAGAAGCACCGGCUAACUACGUG